Molecule: long non-coding RNA, 461 nt
Organism: Peromyscus eremicus (cactus mouse)
Lineage: Eukaryota; Metazoa; Chordata; Mammalia; Rodentia; Cricetidae
Exons: 2
Source: RefSeq, a predicted model, not a curated record
CUAAGCCUCUUGGUUUUGGUAUCAUUGAAAUCACCUAAGGAAACAAUUCUCUACUAUGACAUAGAGAUAGCCAUGUCCCCCAGCUCUGCUCAGCUUUCAACAGACUGACUACAUUAAAGAAUAUAUAGCCUAGUGACAUGAAUCCUCCAGAAUCCCAGUCCAGUAUCAAGAAGUUUGACAUGCACUUUGACUCACAGGUUUCAAAAUUGAAGGAUCUACAGUUGGUAGAGCACUUGUAGGCUCACCUCUCUUCACGCAUCAGAUGAACAAGACAAUAUGUGUGGGAGAGUACUGAUGUUCACAGGGCCCAACAAAAUGGCUGCUGUGCCUUUCUUCUCUCUAAUGCCACACAACUUUUAGGAAGCAGAGAAGAUUUUUCAAGAUAUUAAGCCUAUUAACAAUUUAAUCAUAUAAUUCCUUAUACCCAGGAUUGUGUAAAAUAAAGAUCCCUUACUUAUGAA